GAGUUUGAUCUUGGCUCAGAUUGAACGCUGGCGGCAUGCCUUACACAUGCAAGUCGAACGGCAGCACGGGAGCUUGCUCCUGGUGGCGAGUGGCGAACGGGUGAGUAAUGCAUCGGAACGUAUCCUGGAGUGGGGGAUAACGUAGCGAAAGUUACGCUAAUACCGCAUAUUCUGUGAGCAGGAAAGCGGGGGACCUUCGGGCCUCGCGCUCUUGGAGCGGCCGAUGUCGGAUUAGCUAGUUGGUGAGGUAAAGGCUCACCAAGGCGACGAUCCGUAACUGGUCUGAGAGGAUGAUCAGUCACACUGGAACUGAGACACGGUCCAGACUCCUACGGGAGGCAGCAGUGGGGAAUAUUGGACAAUGGGCGAAAGCCUGAUCCAGCCAUGCCGCGUGUGUGAAGAAGGUCUUCGGAUUGUAAAGCACUUUAAGUUGGGAGGAAGGGCAGUAAGUUAAUACCUUGCUGUUUUGACGUUACCGACAGAAUAAGCACCGGCUAACUCUGUGCCAG
Molecule: ribosomal RNA, 509 nt
Filed under: bacterium enrichment culture clone ALO1_GLFRUDD03F70J6
Lineage: Bacteria
Description: bacterial SSU rRNA
Rfam family: Bacterial small subunit ribosomal RNA
Source: RNAcentral